CUCUUCUUGCCGACAUCGCCGACUCGCCGUCCUCGGCCUCCCGUGAGGCUGUGACCGGCGCCGGCGGUGACCCCGUCCUCUCCUCAUCUCCUCUGCCGCUCCGGCCGGCGGCCUCCUCGGGGUUCCCGGUUCCUGAGUCCCGACGGACCCGACCUCCUCGGCUCCUCCCAAGUCCCAGGGGCCAGCCGGCCAAGCCGCCAGGGCCCAGGCUCCCACGGUCCCACUCCCACCGGGCCACCUCCCGAGACCCGAGUGGGCCGAGUCCCGACCUCCUCCCCUCACUCCCUCAGGCCUCAGUCCCCUGUAACUAUUGGUUGUGACUUCACUACUUCAGCGGUUCGGCACUAUUCGGCCUCUUCUCGCCGUCGAGUUCGGAACUAUUCCACCUCUUCUCGACACAAUUAAGUUCGGCACUACUUGUCGGGAUCCAAGUUUGUUUUUCUUGACACAAUUAAGUUUUAUCAUUUUUAACUUUUUAAA
Phoenix dactylifera (date palm) is the source of this 480-nucleotide non-coding RNA. Lineage: Eukaryota; Viridiplantae; Streptophyta; Magnoliopsida; Arecales; Arecaceae. The record is from RefSeq and is a predicted model, not a curated record.